GUAACAAGGUUUCCGUAGGUGAACCUGCGGAAGGAUCAUUACAGUAUUCUUUUUGCCAGCGCUUAAUUGCGCGGCGAAAAAACCUUACACACAGUGUUUUUUGUUAUUACAAGAACUCUUGCUUUGGUCUGGACUAGAAAUAGUUUGGGCCAGAGGUUUACUAAACUAAACUUCAAUAUUUAUAUUGAAUUGUUAUUUAUUUUAAUUGUCAAUUUGUUGAUUAAAUUCAAAAAAUCUUCAAAACUUUCAACAACGGAUCUCUUGGUUCUCGCAUCGAUGAAGAACGCAGCGAAAUGCGAUAAGUAAUAUGAAUUGCAGAUUUUCGUGAAUCAUCGAAUCUUUGAACGCACAUUGCGCCCUUUGGUAUUCCAAAGGGCAUGCCUGUUUGAGCGUCAUUUCUCUCUCAAACCUUCGGGUUUGGUAUUGAGUGAUACUCUUAGUCGAACUAGGCGUUUGCUUGAAAUGUAUUGGCAUGAGUGGUACUGGAUAGUGCUAUAUGACUUUCAAUGUAUUAGGUUUAUCCAACUCGUUGAAUAGUUUAAUGGUAUAUUUCUCGGUAUUCUAGGCUCGGCCUUACAAUAUAACAAACAAGUUUGACCUCAAAUCAGGUAGGACUACCCGCUGAACUUAAGCAUAUC
Molecule: unclassified non-coding RNA, 638 nt
Filed under: Debaryomyces nepalensis
Lineage: Eukaryota; Fungi; Ascomycota; Pichiomycetes; Serinales; Debaryomycetaceae
Description: sequence contains 18S rRNA gene, ITS1, 5.8S rRNA gene, ITS2, 28S rRNA gene
Rfam family: 5.8S ribosomal RNA (bases 242-395)
Source: RNAcentral